AGUGGCGGACGGGUGAGUAACGCGUGAGAAUCUGGCUUCAGGUCUGGGACAACCACUGGAAACGGUGGCUAAUACCGGAUGUGCCGAAAGGUGAAAGAUUAAUUGCCUGAAGAUGAGCUCGCGUCUGAUUAGCUAGUAGGUGUGGUAAAGGCGCACCUAGGCGACGAUCAGUAGCUGGUCUGAGAGGACGAUCAGCCACACUGGGACUGAGACACGGCCCAGACUCCUACGGGAGGCAGCAGCGGGGAAUUUUCCGCAAUGGGCGAAAGCCUGACGGAGCAAUACCGCGUGAGGGAGGAAGGCUCUUGGGUCGUAAACCUCUUUUCUCAGGGAAGAACACAAUGACGGUACCUGAGGAAUAAGCAUCGGCUAACUCCGUGCCAGCAGCCGCGGUAAUACGGAGGAUGCAAGCGUUAUCCGGAAUGAUUGGGCGUAAAGCGUCCGCAGGUGGCUGUGUAAGUCUGCUGUUAAAGAGUCUAGCUCAACUAGAUAAGAGCAGUGGAAACUACACGGCUAGAGUACGUUCGGGGCAGAGGGAAUUCCUGGUGUAGCGGUGAAAUGCGUAGAGAUCAGGAAGAACACCGGUGGCGAAGGCGCUCUGCUAGGCCGUAACUGACACUGAGGGACGAAAGCUAGGGGAGCGAAUGGGAUUAGAUACCCCAGUAGUCCUAGCCGUAAACGAUGGAUACUAGGCGUGGCUUGUAUCGACCCGAGCCGUGCCGUAGCUAACGCGUUAAGUAUCCCGCCUGGGGAGUACGCCGGCAACGGUGAAACUCAAAGGAAUUGACGGGGGCCCGCACAAGCGGUGGAGUAUGUGGUUUAAUU
RNAcentral lists this ribosomal RNA (825 nucleotides) under uncultured Nostoc sp. RNAcentral describes it as "bacterial SSU rRNA". It matches the Rfam family "Bacterial small subunit ribosomal RNA", at positions 94 to 951 of the family's 1533-position model. Lineage: Bacteria; Bacillati; Cyanobacteriota; Cyanophyceae; Nostocales; Nostocaceae. The record is from RNAcentral.